RNAcentral lists this ribosomal RNA (258 nucleotides) under uncultured bacterium. RNAcentral's name for it is "partial 16S ribosomal RNA". It matches the Rfam family "Bacterial small subunit ribosomal RNA", at positions 524 to 777 of the family's 1533-position model. The record is from RNAcentral.
UACGUAGGGUGCAAGCGUUGUCCGGAAUUAUUGGGCGUAAAGAGCUCGUAGGCGGUUUGUCGCGUCUGCCGUGAAAAGUCCGGGGGCUCAACUCCGGAUCUGCGGUGGGGUACGGGCAGACUAGAGUGAUGUAGGGGAGACUGGAAUUCCUGGUGUAGCGGUGAAAUGCGUAGAGAUCCGGAAGAACACCGGUGGCGAAGGCGGCAUCCUGGACCACGACUGACGCUGAGUGAGCGAAAGCCAGGGGAGCAAAGCGGG